AGGUCUCCUGAAGGAACGUUGAAGACGACGACGUUGAUAGGCCGGGUGUGUAAGCGCAGCGAUGCGUUGAGCUAACCGGUAC
RNAcentral lists this ribosomal RNA (82 nucleotides) under Salmonella enterica. RNAcentral's name for it is "partial 23S ribosomal RNA". The record is from RNAcentral. Lineage: Bacteria; Pseudomonadati; Pseudomonadota; Gammaproteobacteria; Enterobacterales; Enterobacteriaceae.